This 450-nucleotide ribosomal RNA is filed under the name uncultured bacterium. RNAcentral's name for it is "partial 16S ribosomal RNA". It matches the Rfam family "Bacterial small subunit ribosomal RNA", at positions 354 to 796 of the family's 1533-position model. The record is from RNAcentral.
GUAGGGAAUCUUCCACAAUGGACGAAAGUCUGAUGGAGCAACGCCGCGUGAGUGAAGAAGGUCUUCGGAUCGUAAAACUCUGUUGUUAGAGAAGAACGUGCAUGAUAGUAACUGAUCAUGUAAUGACGGUAUCUAACCAGAAAGCCACGGCUAACUACGUGCCAGCAGCCGCGGUAAUACGUAGGUGGCAAGCGUUGUCCGGAUUUAUUGGGCGUAAAGGGAACGCAGGCGGUUUUUUAAGUCGGAUGUGAAAGCGUUCGGCUUAACCGAAGAAUAGCAUUGGAAACUGGAAGACUUGAGUGCAGAAGAGGAGAGUGGAAUUCCGUGUGUAGCGGUGAAAUGCGUAGAUAUAUGGAGGAACACCAGAGGCGAAAGCGGCUCUCUGGUCUGUAACUGACGCUGAGGUUCGAAAGCGUGGGUAGCAAACAGGAUUAGAUACCCGAGUAGUCC